UACGGGGGGGGCAAGCGUUGUUCGGAAUUACUGGGCGUAAAGGGCUCGUAGGCGGCCAACUAAGUCGGAUGUGAAAUCCCCAGGCUCAACUUGGGAACUGCAUCCGAUACUGGAUGGCUUGAAUUCGGGAGAGGGAUGCAGAAUUCCAGGUGUAGCGGUGAAAUGCGUAGAUAUCUGGAGGAAUACCGGUGGCGAAGGCGGCAUCCUGGACCGACAUUGACGCUGAGGAGCGAAAGCCAGGGGAGCGAACGGG
RNAcentral lists this ribosomal RNA (253 nucleotides) under uncultured bacterium. RNAcentral's name for it is "partial 16S ribosomal RNA". It matches the Rfam family "Bacterial small subunit ribosomal RNA", at positions 524 to 776 of the family's 1533-position model. The record is from RNAcentral.